This 900-nucleotide ribosomal RNA is filed under the name uncultured archaeon. RNAcentral describes it as "bacterial SSU rRNA". It matches the Rfam family "Archaeal small subunit ribosomal RNA", at positions 455 to 1354 of the family's 1478-position model. The record is from RNAcentral.
GUGUCAGCAGCCGCGGUAAAACCAGCACCUCAAGUGGUCAGGAGGAUUAUUGGGCCUAAAGCAUCCGUAGCCUGCUCUGUAAGUUUCCGGUUAAAUCCAUUAGCUUAACUGAUGGGCCGCCGGAAAAACUGCAGAGCUAGGGAGUGGGAGAGGUAGACGGUACUCGGUAGGAAGGGGUAAAAUCCUUUGAUCUAUUGAUGACCACCAGUGGCGAAGGCGGUCUACCAGAACACGUUCGACGGUGAGGGAUGAAAGCUGGGGGAGCAAACCGGAUUAGAUACCCGGGUAGUCCCAGCUGUAAACGAUGCAGACUCGGUGAUGCCCUGGCUUGUGGCCAGUGCAGUGCCGCAGGGAAGCCGUUAAGUUUGCCGCCUGGGAAGUACGUACGCAAGUAUGAAACUUAAAGGAAUUGGCGGGGGAGCACCACAAGGGGUGAAGCCUGCGGUUCAAUUGGAGUCAACGCCAGAAAUCUUACCCGAGGAGACAGCAGAAUGAAGGUCAAGCUGGAGACUUUACCAGACAAGCUGAGAAGUGGUGCAUGGCCGUCGCCAGCUCGUGCCGUGAGAUGUCCUGUUAAGUCAGGUAACGAGCGAGAUCCCUGCCUCUAGUUGCCACCAUUACUCUCAGGAGUAGUGGGGCGAAUUAGCGGGACCGCCACAGUUAAUGUGGAGGAAGGAAGGGGCCACGGCAGGUCAGUAUGCCCUGAAACCUUGGGGCCACACGCGGGCUGCAAUGAUAGUGACAAUGAGUUCCUAAACCGAAAGGUGGAGGCAAUCUUCAAACGCUAUCACAGUUAUGAUUGAGGGCUGCAACUCGCCCUCAUGAAUAUGGAAUCCCUAGUAACUGCGUGUCAUUACCGCGCGGUGAAUACGUCCCUGCUCCUUGCACACACCGCCCGUC